Molecule: ribosomal RNA, 618 nt
Filed under: Triticum aestivum (bread wheat)
Lineage: Eukaryota; Viridiplantae; Streptophyta; Magnoliopsida; Poales; Poaceae
Description: partial small subunit ribosomal RNA
Source: RNAcentral
AUGUACAGGACAGGGAGUCACCAUGCCAAAGCAGCUGCCUGCUACAUCCUAACGGUCGGGCGUGGAGGCUCGCCGAGGUGUAUUGGAGUUCCUUCGGAUACCCUUGCCAUACGGAAAGGUAAGAUGACCGAGAAUGGAGUGGCCCCUAUUAAUGUGAGGCCUAUUAAUGUGAGCCCACCCGUCGUGUUUGGUGGUUGCCUUCAUUGGGAACCUGGCUGGCUUGGCUAUGAUGCCAACGAUAUAGUCGUGUUUGACACGGUGGCCGAGACAUUCAGGUCCAUGUGUUGCCCGCCUAGUGCUACGAGCUGCUGCACUCAUCUGUGUGAGAUGGAAGGAUUGAUUGGCUUUAGUUGCUUGGACGACGGGAGGACAGUCGCUAGAAUCUGGGUACUGGAGGACUACGAGAGGGAGGCAUGGUCGUUCAUGUAUCAUGUCAAAUUCCCUGCGGAGAGCGUGUGUCGCAAUAUAUAUACGCAACAUCUUGUUCUGUCCCACAAGGGAGACGUGCUGGUCCACAGUACGUACACAUAUUUCAUGUUUUGCUGUGACAGCACGGGCAAGUUCCUAGAGAAAUUCUCAUGGGAACCCAAGUUACGACCACGCUUGAACACAGGUUAG